GACGAACGCUGGCGGCGUGCUUAACACAUGCAAGUCGAACGAAGAGCGAUGGAAGCUUGCUUCUAUCAAUCUUAGUGGCGAACGGGUGAGUAACGCGUAAUCAACCUGCCCUUCAGAGGGGGACAACAGUUGGAAACGACUGCUAAUACCGCAUACGAUCUAAUCUCGGCAUCGAGGAUAGAUGAAAGGUGGCCUCUACAUGUAAGCUAUCACUGAAGGAGGGGAUUGCGUCUGAUUAGCUAGUUGGAGGGGUAACGGCCCACCAAGGCGAUGAUCAGUAGCCGGUCUGAGAGGAUGAACGGCCACAUUGGGACUGAGGCACGGCCCAGACUCCUACGGGAGGCAGCAGUGGGGAAUCUUCCGCAAUGGACGAAAGUCUGACGGAGCAACGCCGCGUGAGCGAUGACGGCCUUCGGGUUGUAAAGCUCUGUUAAUCGGGACGAAAGGCCUUCUUGCGAAUAGUGAGAAGGAUUGACGGUACCGGAAUAGAAAGCCACGGCUAACUACGUG
RNAcentral lists this ribosomal RNA (510 nucleotides) under uncultured bacterium. Its description in RNAcentral is "partial 16S ribosomal RNA". It matches the Rfam family "Bacterial small subunit ribosomal RNA", at positions 28 to 507 of the family's 1533-position model. The record is from RNAcentral.